RNAcentral lists this long non-coding RNA (613 nucleotides) under Nicotiana tabacum (common tobacco). Its description in RNAcentral is "long non-coding RNA (NTAB_LNC002636)". Lineage: Eukaryota; Viridiplantae; Streptophyta; Magnoliopsida; Solanales; Solanaceae. The record is from RNAcentral.
ACUGAACAUUUUCCUUUUAUCAGUAUUAGGGUUUUAAACCCUAAACUGAACUUUUUCCAUUCAGUCAGCAUUAGGGUUUUAAACCCUAAACUGAACUUUUUCCUUUAGUCAGCAUUAGGGUUUUAAACCCUAAACUGAACUCUUUCCUUCAGUCAGCAUUAGGGUUUUAAACCCUAAACUGAACUUUUUCCAUUCAGUCAGCAUUAGGGUUUUUAACCCUAAACUGAACUUUUUCCUUUAGUCAGCAUUAGGGGUUUAAACCCUAAACUGAACUCUUUCCUUUAGUCAGCAUUAGGGUUUUAAACCCUAAACUGAACUUUUUCCAUUCAGUCAGCAUUAGGGUUUUAAACCCUAAACUGAACUUUUUCCUUUAAUCAGCAUUAGAGUUUUAAACCCUAAACUGAACUUUUCCAUUCAGUCAGCAUUAGGGUUUUAAACCCUAAACUGAACUUUUUCCUUUAGUCAGCAUUAGGGGUUUAAACCCUAAACUGAACUCUUUCCUUUAGUCAGCAUUAGGGUUUUAAACCCUAAACUGAAUUUUUCCCUUCAGUCAGCAUUAGGGUUUUAAACCCUAAACUGAACUCUUUUCUCAGUCAGCAUUAGGGUUUUAAAC